UCAUACGGAUUGCUGAUCUGUAUGAUCCAUACGGAUUGGCAAUCCAUAUGGUCGUACGGAUUGUUGAUCCGUAUGUGCAUAC
Non-coding RNA from Glycine max (soybean), 82 nucleotides. The record is from Rfam. NCBI's taxonomy places the organism in Eukaryota, Viridiplantae, Streptophyta, Magnoliopsida, Fabales, Fabaceae.